Molecule: transfer RNA, 83 nt
Filed under: Gemmata obscuriglobus
Lineage: Bacteria; Pseudomonadati; Planctomycetota; Planctomycetia; Gemmatales; Gemmataceae
Also listed under: 2 other names
Rfam family: tRNA
About the family: Transfer RNA (tRNA) molecules are approximately 80 nucleotides in length.
Source: Rfam by way of RNAcentral
GCGGGAGUGGCGGAAUGGCAGACGCACCAGCUUGAGGGGCUGGCGGGAGCAAUCCUGUGCAGGUUCAAGUCCUGUCUCCCGCA